This 102-nucleotide small RNA is filed under the name Oceanobacillus picturae. Its description in RNAcentral is "Bacillaceae-1 RNA". It matches the Rfam family "Bacillaceae-1 RNA". Lineage: Bacteria; Bacillati; Bacillota; Bacilli; Caryophanales; Bacillaceae. The record is from Rfam by way of RNAcentral.
AUUGAAGGAACUUCUGUUAAAAUCCGUCACGUCCUGGGCCUGCGAAUACUCGCCCCAUCGGAAACAUUUGUGACGAACACAGAAGCCAACACAUCCUGUGCA